RNAcentral lists this ribosomal RNA (447 nucleotides) under uncultured organism. RNAcentral describes it as "partial 16S ribosomal RNA". It matches the Rfam family "Bacterial small subunit ribosomal RNA", at positions 334 to 797 of the family's 1533-position model. The record is from RNAcentral.
CACUCCUACGGGAGGCAGCAGUGGGGAAUAUUGGACAAUGGGCGCAAGCCUGAUCCAGCCAUGCCGCGUGAGUGAUGAAGGCCCUAGGGUUGUAAAGCUCUUUCACCGGUGAAGAUAAUGACGGUAACCGGAGAAGAAGCCCCGGCUAACUUCGUGCCAGCAGCCGCGGUAAUACGAAGGGGGCUAGCGUUGUUCGGAUUUACUGGGCGUAAAGCGCACGUAGGCGGACUAUUAAGUCAGGGGUGAAAUCCCGGGGCUCAACCCCGGAACUGCCUUUGAUACUGGUAGUCUUGAGUUCGAGAGAGGUGAGUGGAAUUCCGAGUGCAGAGGUGAAAUUCGUAGAUAUUCGGAGGAACACCAGUGGCGAAGGCGGCUCACUGGCUCGAUACUGACGCUGAGGUGCGAAAGCGUGGGGAGCAAACAGGAUUAGAUACCCGGGUAGUCCCA